CUCGUAGGUGGUUUGGUAAGUCGGAUGUGAAAUCUCCAGGCUCAACCUGGAGGGGUCAUUCGAUACUGCCAUGACUAGAGGUCGGUAGGGGAGUGUGGAAUUCCUGGUGGAGCGGUGAAAUGCGCAGAUAUCAGGAGGAACACCCGUAGCGAAGGCGGCACUCUGGGCCGAUUCUGACACUGAGGAGCGAAAGCGUGGGGAGCGAACA
Molecule: ribosomal RNA, 208 nt
Filed under: uncultured bacterium
Lineage: Bacteria
Description: partial 16S ribosomal RNA
Rfam family: Bacterial small subunit ribosomal RNA
Source: RNAcentral